GAUAGAUCCUUGCGGGUAGGCGGCCAAUAAGAAUUGUGUUAUGUGAAUUGUGAUGAUCUCACCAUGUCAUGGAAGUAAGGGCUGGAAUUCCAACAAGGCAUUUCAGGCAGAUUAGAGAAGAGUGGUUUCUGUGAGAGGAGGUAUCUGUACAAAAAGGCAGAGCUGCUUGUGCAUUACGGACCACGUGUCACCAAGGCCGGGUCUUCAUUACUCGCCUAGGCAUCCAUCUGCGUGCUUUUCCCAUUGUCAAGCCCCUCAGGAUCAUGAGGCAGCGGACACCCUGGAUGGGAUGCCGGUUCAGUGCAGAGUGCACACCGUUAAAGAUACCCGUUAGCCUAAAUGUAUUUUUUUGGACUGUCCACAGGAGACUCCUGUGACACGCUGAGAACAUUCCAUUUGCAUACUCACAUGGCAGAGGUGCCAUUCACACCCCCAAUCCCGGGGGCAUAAGGUAACUGUGUGACCCACCCUUAUAAAAUCAUGCCACUUAUAUUAAGUUGAUUAUACAACUUAGCGUAGCAACAAAGGCUUGCAGAUUAAGUACCUUUUUCCUCAAGACUUUUGGAAUAGGUUCUUGCCUGAACACCCAUUCCGAAGGCAUUUGCUGCCAGGUGCUGUUGGGUCCAUGGUUUGUAUGGGAAUCUAUCACGGUAACCUUUUGGUGUCAUGGUUACUCCCUAACUGGAAAAAUGUUUGAGUAGCAGGUGGACAGACGUGCUUAAUGUAUAAUUCUGAGCUGAGCACAGCUGUGCACUAUGAACUUCUACUACUUCAGGUAGAGUGGGUGUGUGGGGGGUUCAGGGCUGCACUGAUAAGCAAAGCAAGCGUUGGGAUGCUGUUGGUGGGGGUCACAGCAUGUUAGCAUGCCCCCCCCCCCCACUGCUGCAUAAUCAAGCAUGGAUGUUGGGUUCAUAUAAAGAUGGCAGCCUUGGGUGAAUCACGAAGGAGGCGGCUGCCUCGACAUCACGUAACGGGGAACUGAGCUUCCGGUGUUUUCUCUGGGUGGCCUUUCUGUUGCUGUCACAGACACGGCUUGGGACUCAGGCUCCACACGGUCACUGUCGCUGCCAGCGGGGUUGUCAUGGAAACCUCAGACGCCAGUGUCCGUUUCCAGGGCGAUCGGAAGCUCUGUGAGAAUUGGAGUUCCUCUUUAUGGGAGCCUUCCGAGGUUCCUUCAAAUGGGAAGGUCACCUACCCAUACUGUAAUAGCUAAUUACAGGCUCCUGGGGGGGGGGGAGUG
This is a long non-coding RNA of Paramormyrops kingsleyae, 1240 nucleotides long. RefSeq lists it as uncharacterized. Lineage: Eukaryota; Metazoa; Chordata; Actinopteri; Osteoglossiformes; Mormyridae. The record is from RefSeq and is a predicted model, not a curated record.